This 463-nucleotide ribosomal RNA is filed under the name Lachnospiraceae bacterium oral taxon D74. RNAcentral's name for it is "bacterial SSU rRNA". It matches the Rfam family "Bacterial small subunit ribosomal RNA", at positions 40 to 504 of the family's 1533-position model. The record is from RNAcentral. Lineage: Bacteria; Bacillati; Bacillota; Clostridia; Lachnospirales; Lachnospiraceae.
CGGGCGUCUUAACAUGCAAGUCGAACGGAGUUUAUAUAGAAGGAGUCCUCGGACAACGGAAGUAUAAACUUAGUGGCGGACGGGUGAGUAAUGCGUGGGUAACCUGCCUUAUACAAGGGGAUAACAGAGGGAAACUUCUGCUAAUACCGUGUAAAAAUAUUUCACGCAUGUGAGAUAUUUGAAAGAUUUAUCAGUAUGAGAUGGACCCGCGUCCGAUUAGGUAGUUGGUGAGGUAGAGGCUCACCUAGCCAACGAUCGGUAGCCGAUCUGAGAGGAUGACCGGCCACAUUGGGACUGAGACACGGCUCAUACUCCUACGGGAGGCAGCAGUGGGGAAUAUUGGGCAAUGGGGGCAACUCUGAUCCAGCGACGCCGCGUGAGUGAAGAAGUAUUUCGGUAUGUAAAGCUCUAUCGAUAACGGAAGAAGAUGACAAGCCGUUAAGGAAGAAGCCCGGCUAACUAC